This is a ribosomal RNA of 538 nucleotides. It matches the Rfam family "Bacterial large subunit ribosomal RNA", at positions 1844 to 2584 of the family's 2925-position model.
GAUAAGAGGUCCAGCCUGCCCAGUGACAUUGUUCAACGGCCGCGGUAUCCUAACCGUGCGAAGGUAGCGUAAUCACUUGUUCUUUAAAUGAGGACUAGUAUGAAUGGCACCACGAAGAUUUUACUGUCUCCUUUUCCUAAUCAGUGAAACUAAUCUUCCCGUGAAGAAGCGGGAAUAAACAUAUAAGACGAGAAGACCCUAUGGAGCUUUAAACUAUACUACAUUUGCCCAUAAACAAUUUAAUUUCAGAAAAAUUUAUUUAUCAUGGCACUAUGAUUUUAAGUUUUAGGUUGGGGUGACCGCGGAGAAAAACACAUCCUCCGCAUUGAACAAGAUUAUUUCUUUAGCCAAAAGCUACAUCUUUAAGCAUCAAUAAAUUGACAUUAUUGACCCAAUAUUUUGAUCAACGAACCAAGUUACCCUAGGGAUAACAGCGCAAUCCACUUCAAGAGCUCCUAUCGACAAGUGGGUUUACGACCUCGAUGUUGGAUCAGGGUAUCCCAGUGGUGCAGCCGCUACUAAAGGUUCGUUUGUUCAA